RNAcentral lists this ribosomal RNA (443 nucleotides) under uncultured bacterium. Its description in RNAcentral is "partial 16S ribosomal RNA". It matches the Rfam family "Bacterial small subunit ribosomal RNA", at positions 338 to 795 of the family's 1533-position model. The record is from RNAcentral.
CCUACGGGUGGCAGCAGUGGGGGAUAUUGGACAAUGGGGGGAACCCUGAUCCCGCGACGCCGCGUGAGUGAAGAAGUAUUUCGGUAUGUAAAGCUCUGUCAGCAGGGAAGAAAGAAAUGACGGUACCUGACCAAGAAGCCCCGGCUAACUAAGUGCCAGCAGCCGCGGUAAUACGUAGGGGGCAAGCGUUAUCCGGAAUUACUGGGUGUAAAGGGAGUGUAGACGGUGAAGUAAGUCUGGAGUGAAAGGCCGGGGCCCAACCCCGGGCCUGCUCUGGAAACUAUUUGACUUGAGUGCAGGAGAGGUAAGCGGAAUUCCUGGUGUAGCGGUGAUAUGCGUAGAUAUUAGGAAGAACACCCGUGGCGAAGGCGGCUUACUGGACUGUAACUGACGUUGAGGCUCGAAAGCGUGGGGAGCGAACAGGAUUAGAUACCCGAGUAGUC